AAGCUGCCAGCUGAAGAA
This 18-nucleotide non-coding RNA is filed under the name Gadus morhua (Atlantic cod). Its record names the gene gmo-miR-22a-3p. RNAcentral also lists the same sequence under 1 other name. Lineage: Eukaryota; Metazoa; Chordata; Actinopteri; Gadiformes; Gadidae. The record is from miRBase by way of RNAcentral.